Molecule: ribosomal RNA, 253 nt
Filed under: uncultured bacterium
Lineage: Bacteria
Description: partial 16S ribosomal RNA
Rfam family: Bacterial small subunit ribosomal RNA
Source: RNAcentral
UACGUAGGGCGCAAGCGUUGUCCGGAAUUAUUGGGCGUAAAGAGCUCGUAGGCGGCUUGUCACGUCGAUUGUGAAAGCCCGAGGCUUAACCUCGGGUCUGCAGCCGAUACGGGCUAGCUAGAGUGUGGUAGGGGAGAUCGGAAUUCCUGGUGUAGCGGUGAAAUGCGCAGAUAUCAGGAGGAACACCGGUGGCGAAGGCGGAUCUCUGGGCCAUUACUGACGCUGAGGAGCGAAAGCGUGGGGAGCGAACAGG